RNAcentral lists this ribosomal RNA (253 nucleotides) under uncultured bacterium. RNAcentral describes it as "partial 16S ribosomal RNA". It matches the Rfam family "Bacterial small subunit ribosomal RNA", at positions 524 to 776 of the family's 1533-position model. The record is from RNAcentral.
UACGGAGGGUGCGAGCGUUAAUCGGAAUUACUGGGCGUAAAGGGUGCGUAGGUGGUUAAAUAAGUUAUCUGUGAAAGCCCUGGGCUUAACCUGGGAAGGUCAGAUAAGACUGUUGGGCUAGAGUAUAGGAGAGGGUAGUGGAAUUUCCGGUGUAGCGGUGAAAUGCGUAGAGAUCGGAAGGAACACCAGUGGCGAAGGCGGCUACCUGGCCUAAUACUGACACUGAGGCACGAAAGCGUGGGGAGCAAACAGG